Molecule: long non-coding RNA, 4384 nt
Filed under: Heterocephalus glaber (naked mole-rat)
Lineage: Eukaryota; Metazoa; Chordata; Mammalia; Rodentia; Bathyergidae
Description: lncRNA (ENSHGLG00000044810.1)
Source: RNAcentral
GGCGACCCUCUUAACGCCAUUCAAAGUGUAUGUCAUCUUGUUUCUAUGCCCUCUUCUCCGAUGUGCACUGGUAUUUUGUGAGCACACAUUUUUAAUUCACAGAGCAUUGGUGUGGAUCUCAUUUUUCCUUUCUCCCCCUUUCUUUUCAAAAGCAAUAUGUUUUGAAAGUCUUUCCAAGUUGCUGUGUGUUCAUCUACUCUGGGGCUCCUAACUACCACAUAAAAUACUCCAUCAUGUUUAUCUUUCGCAGUUUACCCUCUGCACUUCCUCAGCCAUGGACUGGGCCCACAAUCACGCUAGGAUACCCUCUCCUUAGGUGUGAGAGAACCUCUUUGACACAUCUACUGCCGGCCAAGGGGUAAUUGAGCUUUGGGGUAUGUGUCUCCGAGUUGAUUACUAGUGCUUGCAUGUUCUCCGGCAGAGCUGGUCAGUAUCAGUCCUCAUUUCCACUGGAAAUGCCUGAAAGUUCUCCUAACCUCACCAACACCUAACAUCACACAGCUUCCUAAUUUUGCUCAGCUCUGACCUCCAAGUGAUGGCAUUGCUUAUUAACUUGAGUUUUUGUAAUAACCAAUGAUUUGGGUUACAGACUUAAAUCCACACUAGCUUUUCUAGUUUCCUCCUUUUUCUUUCCACUCACUAGUUCAAAUUGCUUUCAUGAGCUCAUAAUCUUUUCUUAACUUCAGGUUUCUUUCAUUGCAGGCUUCUUUCUUAUUGACUUUCAGGGCUCCCCUUUAUGUUAUAGAUAUUAAUUCAUUGUCAGAUUUAGACAUUACAAAUACCUGCUUCCAUUUUGUCCCCAUCCACCUAUUUAUCAACGAUGAGAUUUUUGUUGUGGUGGUUGUGGUUGAAUAGAUGUCCUCGGUUUCUGUAUAACCAGGACACUAGCUGUUUUCCUCAUGGCUUGUGCUCCUGGGGACCUAUCUGUGCUGUGUUCUAGUCUCAGCUGCCCUGGACCCCCCCUUCUUCCCUUUCAAGUCUCCGACCAGGAGAUGCUUUUGUGGAUGGUCCUGAGCAGUUUCUCUGUCCCAGAGAACAGCUACAGUGUAUGCCAUAACACACACGUGUGUGCCAUCCCAAAGAGAAGGCGUGGAACUCCAGGAACAAACCUUGCAAUUGCUGCAGCAGAGAAGAAGCAAAAGAUGUUGCCCUUCUGGGCUCUGCUGUCCCCAGCCUGGUCCUCGGACAAAGCUGAGCAACACAUUGGCAGGAAUCUGCCUUCAAGUCCCCAGGUCAAAGAAAUCACAACCCUGUCCAGGAGGGCGGUGUUCUGGGGCGGCAGAGCAAAGAUGGAAAAGUCCUGUGUAACUUCAAGCAGAGCACUGAGGAAGGAAGGGAGCCCUUGUGCUUUCCUUGACUUUGCAUCCCAGAUGGGUAACGUUAGCCACAGCUGGCACCGAAGCCAGUGAGAAACAGUGCUCGACCCCGAAGAGGGCCUUCUCGUGCACGGUGAAAGGAGCCUUCUCCAUGUGAGCUCUGGGCUCAAUCAGUGUCCACCACGGCUCCUAACCCUGUGGGAAGACCUCAGGCGGGCAGAGCUGAAAGAGAAGCUCUCCUCUGACGUGUGCACUGAGAUAGCUCUGAACUCUGGACCAGCAAGGCACCAUGACUCUGGCCACUCGCUUACACCAGCAGACAUCUCUGCUUUGGGCCAUCGAGAAUUUCUAGAGUUCAUCUGGAGCCUUUCCAAUCACCCAGCUAGAGAAAUGAAGUCGGAUGAGCGUGUUUGGGGGCUUUCUACAGUUCUUUCAAAAGGAAAGACAAGCUGGGUAUGCUGGAGCAUGCCUGUAAUCCCAGCACUCUAGAAGGCUGAGGCAGGAGGAUCACGUUCCAACCCAGCUUAGAUAAAUUAGCAAUUUAGGGAGACCCUGUUUCAAAAUGAAAAAUAAGAAAGGCUGGGAAUAAAACUGAGUGUGAACGCCUUGGGUUCAAUUCCCAGCACUUCAAAAGAAAAGGAAACACAAAUUUUAAAGAUAAAAUUAUUAUCAAAGUGUCUUUAAUGAUUUAAUUAUCUCUAGAAACAUAACUUUAAACAUUGGAAUUUUCUGUUUUAUCAUAGAAGAAACAGAAAUUUUGACUGCAGAUAUGGACACAGAAAGAAAACGGAUAAAGUCACUGUUACCUAAAAUAUCCUGUGGAGUCAAAAGACCUGUGCACACUCGAAGGAAGCGAACUGUGUGGGAGGGAAGCCUGCACAAGCCGUAAACUUGGGUACAAAGUCAGGGACACUGCGUGAUGGGAUUCUGUGAGACCAGGAGGCUGACCAGGACCGGCUGCGGGCCACCUCUGCGCCUGCCAGUGGGAGAAUAGCAGUGACGCAUGGAUGUCUUUGCAGGGAGACUUCCGUGGCAGGUGGCAAUUAAGGAUGGAGAUAAAAUCAACUGCGGGGAAUUUAUAUCGGUGGCUGCUGGGUUCUGACUGCUGCACAUUGCGUCAGACCUAGUAGAGCUCACCAUUACCAAAUAUGGACCUCACUCUUAGACUGGAUAAAACUUAACUCUAACAUAGUUGUUGAAAAGGGUGGAAAGAAUUAUUAUCCACUGAAGGCUACAACGGAACUACCUACCAAAAUGACAUUGCUUUGAUUGAAAUAAAAAAAACGUCCCAGCCACAAAGAAUGUGUGUUCUCUAAUUCCAUCCUGCCUGUGUCCCCUGGUCUCCAUAUCUAUUCCAACCUAAGGACAGCUGCAUCAUUUCUGGCUGGGGUCGAGAAAAAGAUAACCAAAAAGUCUACUCGCUUAGGUGGGGUGGGGUUAACCUAAUAAGCAACUGCUCUCAGUUUUACCAAAAUCGCUACUAUGAGAAGGAAAUGGAAUGCGCAGGUACAGCUGAUGGUUCCAUUGAUGCCUGUAAAGGGGACUCUGGGGGGCCCCUCGUCUGCCUGGACACCAGCAAUGUGACUUUACGUUUGGGGCAUUGUGAGCUGGGGUGAAAACUGUGGAAAGCCAGAGUUUCCGGGCGUUUACACCAAAGUGGCCAAUUAUUUUGACUGGAUUAGCUAUCAUGUGGGAAGGCCUCUUAUUUGAAGCACAAUGUCUGAAACGUGAUUUGAUCUACCAGAAGUUUCAUUUUAAUGACAAUGGAACAAAUUUUACUACACACAGUAUGUGUGUUGUUAAUGUUCUCAUCAAAAGGGUUUGCUAUAUUGGAAUUUUGCUGUGUAAUUUGCAAAUAAAUAUUUUGGUCAAGCAUACAAGUCUGUUUGUGCUGGGGGCUGAACCCAGGACUGUGUUCAUAUUCAACAACACUGAGCUACACCCUCAACCUACAUGUUUUACUUGUCAGAAAAUUUGACUAAAUUCUCUCUUCAUGUAGGGGUGAUGUAUUGACUAUAUUAAAGGUUUAGCUCAUUGAAUGAUAUUGUGUCACAUAAAGCCAGGGGUUGAAACCCCAAAUCUACAACCUACUAAGUUUGACCCUGGGCAUUUUAUCUUCUUUGUGUCUCACUUUCCAUCUAUAACAUGGAUUGUGUGAAAAUGAUGCUACAUAUUUACAUAAAACACCUGGCAUAGCACCUGUCUCAAGGUUUUAACUGUAGGGAAGAGAUAGGGUAAAGGCCUCCCUGAGCUUUAUUAAGAUCAAUAGGGAAACUUACUGAAAGAACAUGAGCUGAAAAAAAAAACCCAAAAAGAAAACAGAGCUGAAACAGGAGCACCCAAGGCAGGGCUUUAUCGGGGGAAGGAGCUGCUGGACUGCCUCAAACAAUGGUGAGAGAGGGCGAGACUCACCGGGGUGAGAUUUAUAUAGGCCGGUGCAGUGGGGAGAGUAUCGUGAGAGUUGAGCAAUAGGACACCAAGUGAUUGGAAGGGGAGGAUCAUGCGCAUAGCAGGAUGGAGCAAUAAGUUAGUUUUUGCUUUUCGGGGGGGUGGGUAGGUUUCACUUUUCCAAAGGGGCUCAUUUCCAUAAGCAGGAACCAUUUCAGGAACAGGAGCCAUUUUAGAAUGCAGGACCACUGGGGCCAUUUGGUCUGCUAGAGAACUCAUCACUUACUAAAAGCAGUUUCUGCCUCUACAGGUAUGAUGAGGAAAGCAAAACUUAUAAAAACAAAACCUAAGUCUUAAGUGUUAGACAAAACUCUAAAGGCCAUAACUACUGCUCUCCGUCACCUUCCCCUUUGAUCUUUCUCCUCCCUGUGGCUCCUGUUCUUUGCCCUGACAAAUCUGUUCCUAUAGAUAAUGGUUUUGCCACAUCCUGUUUCUAUGGGAGCCUAUUUUUUUCUUCACUCGACCAAGGUCACCCAGAUUUGCUAAGCUGCAAACUAUCACUGCUUUGCCUUUGUUCUGCUUCUGUAACUUCGGUAUAAAAGGAAUUGCAUAACUCCUGCUCAGGGCUCAGAAUUUGGAGUCACAAACUCCACUGGGCCUGCUGGCAUAAUAAACCUCGG